RNAcentral lists this transfer RNA (79 nucleotides) under Rhizobium sp. P28RR-XV. RNAcentral describes it as "tRNA-His". Lineage: Bacteria; Pseudomonadati; Pseudomonadota; Alphaproteobacteria; Hyphomicrobiales; Rhizobiaceae. The record is from RNAcentral.
GCCAGUGUGACGGAAUUGGUAGACGUAUCACCGCAGUGAUCCUAUGGCUCAGCUGUGGGUUCGACCCCUGCCGCUGGCA